AUGAUGAGUUUAUGUGAUGUGGACGUUAAUACCAUUGUUACACCCACGGUCCCUACUGCUAUACAUACCGAACCAAUUACUAGAGCUCGCACACGUCAAUUGAAUUACCGGGUACUUUCGUUUCUUGGUAACAAUUCUAAUGUUCAUGAGAAUAUGACGCUGCCUAAAUUGGAUACAUUUUUUUGCUUGCAAAUAAAUGGCCUAGCUUGGACAAGAAAGAUGAACAUUGGAGCAAGAUCAAACAUGGAGUUGAUGGCAUGCGCAAGGGAAAUAAGAACGGAGUUUCAAGUAAUGAUUUCACAACUUUGA
Molecule: ribosomal RNA, 309 nt
Filed under: Triticum aestivum (bread wheat)
Lineage: Eukaryota; Viridiplantae; Streptophyta; Magnoliopsida; Poales; Poaceae
Description: partial small subunit ribosomal RNA
Source: RNAcentral